CAGUAGCCGCGGUAAUACGAAGGGUGCAAGCGUUACUCGGAAUUACUGGGCGUAAAGCGUGCGUAGGCGGUUUGUUAAGUCUGUUGUGAAAUCCCCGGGCUCAACCUGGGAAUGGCAAUGGAUACUGGCAAGCUAGAGUGUGUCAGAGGAUGGUGGAAUUCCCGGUGUAGCGGUGAAAUGCGUAGAGAUCGGGAGGAACAUCAGUGGCGAAGGCGGCCAUCUGGGACAACACUGACGCUGAGGCACGAAAGCGUGGGGAGCAAACAGGAUUAGAUACCCCGGUAGUCCCUGUCUCUUAUAC
This 301-nucleotide ribosomal RNA is filed under the name uncultured bacterium. RNAcentral's name for it is "partial 16S ribosomal RNA". It matches the Rfam family "Bacterial small subunit ribosomal RNA", at positions 509 to 807 of the family's 1533-position model. The record is from RNAcentral.